GUGGGGAAUAUUGCGCAAUGGGGGAAACCCUGACGCAGCGACGCCGUGUGAGGGAAGAAGGCUUUCGGGUCGUAAACCUCUGUCAGAAAGGAAGAACCUCCCAUAUCCGAAUAGGGUGUGGGACUGACGGUACUUUCAAAGGAAGCACCGGCUAACUCCGUGCCAGCAGCCGCGGUAAUACGGAGGGUGCUAGCGUUAAUCGGAAUCACUGGGCGUAAAGCGCGCGUAGGCCGCUUCUUAAGUCGGACGUGAAAGCCCUCGGCUCAACCGGGGAACGGCGUUCGAUACUGGGAGGCUUGAGUCCUGGAGAGGGUGGCGGAAUUCCGGGUGUAGGAGUGAAAUCCGUAGAUAUCCGGAGGAACACCGGGCGAAGGCGGCCACCUGGACAGGUACUGACGCUGAGGCGCGAAAGCGUGGGGAGCAAACAGGAUUAGAUACCCCGGUAGUCC
RNAcentral lists this ribosomal RNA (449 nucleotides) under uncultured bacterium. RNAcentral describes it as "partial 16S ribosomal RNA". It matches the Rfam family "Bacterial small subunit ribosomal RNA", at positions 354 to 796 of the family's 1533-position model. The record is from RNAcentral.